CGCGGGGUCGGGUGGGCCCCCCGGGCGUGCGGCCUGGCUCGGGGACCGGCCGCUGGUCUGCCAGGUGCUGCUCCCGCCCCGCGC
Molecule: transfer RNA, 84 nt
Filed under: Isoptericola cucumis
Lineage: Bacteria; Bacillati; Actinomycetota; Actinomycetes; Micrococcales; Promicromonosporaceae
Description: tRNA-Ala
Source: RNAcentral